Long non-coding RNA from Bolinopsis microptera, 519 nucleotides. RefSeq lists it as uncharacterized. NCBI's taxonomy places the organism in Eukaryota, Metazoa, Ctenophora, Tentaculata, Lobata, Bolinopsidae. The transcript is spliced from 3 exons. The record is from RefSeq and is a predicted model, not a curated record.
GUUCCGAGCAGAAAAAAAGGGGAAUAUCCUGAAGACAUAAAGUCAAGCUUCAAUUCUGGUUAAAAGAUGAAAUAAACUGAGCGCUGUACCUACUGUGGUUGAGUGAAGGUCCCAACUUUGUGUGUACUCAGUCAUGGUUCCCAAAGCUGAGCGUGAUAUCAACAACCCAACGAAGCGCGAGCGGCCUCUGCUAUUGUGCCAACGCGAUUCUGUCACACAUAUGGUCCCUUCGAAGACUUAUGUUCACACUACCAGGCCCCCUACAUAUCAUCUACGACGGAUGUCUUUUAAAUGUCCUCCGCAAGUGACAAGCAGUUCAGACGACCAAUGUUGCGUGAACUGCUAUGAUGAUCUUAAGAUGCUGGCAGGCUGUACAUCACAUACAAAGGAACAAACUAAGACUGAUGGUUAACAUAAUGUUCAUUUGAUUAUCACGCCGUGCUAUGUUUUCAUGUAUUCGAUUUAAUAUCUUAUCUGCUUAAAAGAAUUGUGUUAUCAUUUAGACAUCAAGCUUCGUAA